GUGCCAGCAGUCGCGGUAAUACGUAGGUGGCAAGCGUUGUCCGGAUUUAUUGGGCGUAAAGCGAGCGCAGGCGGUUUCUUAAGUCUGAUGUGAAAGCCCCCGGCUCAACCGGGGAGGGUCAUUGGAAACUGGGAGACUUGAGUGCAGAAGAGGAGAGUGGAAUUCCAUGUGUAGCGGUGAAAUGCGUAGAUAUAUGGAGGAACACCAGUGGCGAAGGCGGCUCUCUGGUCUGUAACUGACGCUGAGGCUCGAAAGCGUGGGGAGCGAACAGGAUUAGAUACCCUGGUAGUCCACGCCGUAAACGAUGAGUGCUAAGUGUUGGAGGGUUUCCGCCCUUCAGUGCUGCAGCAAACGCAUUAAGCACUCCGCCUGGGGAGUACGACCGCAAGGUUGAAACUCAAAGGAAUUGACGGGGGCCCGCACAAGCGGUGGAGCAUGUGGUUUAAUUCGAAGCAACGCGAAGAACCUUACCAGGUCUUGACAUCCUUUGACCACUCUAGAGAUAGAGCUUCCCCUUCGGGGGCAAAGUGACAGGUGGUGCAUGGUUGUCGUCAGCUCGUGUCGUGAGAUGUUGGGUUAAGUCCCGCAACGAGCGCAACCCUUAUUGUUAGUUGCCAUCAUUUAGUUGGGCACUCUAGCGAGACUGCCGGUGACAAACCGGAGGAAGGUGGGGAUGACGUCAAAUCAUCAUGCCCCUUAUGAC
Molecule: ribosomal RNA, 703 nt
Filed under: uncultured bacterium
Lineage: Bacteria
Description: bacterial SSU rRNA
Rfam family: Bacterial small subunit ribosomal RNA
Source: RNAcentral